Triticum aestivum (bread wheat) is the source of this 135-nucleotide non-coding RNA. Lineage: Eukaryota; Viridiplantae; Streptophyta; Magnoliopsida; Poales; Poaceae. The record is from Rfam.
UUACUACUCCCUCCGUCCGGAAAUACUUGUCAUCAAAAUGAAUAAAAGGGGAUGUAUCUAGAUGUAUUUUAGUUUUAGAUACAUUUCCUUUUAUCCGUUUUGAUGACAAGUAUUUUCGGACGCAGGGAGUAUAUG